UACGGACUAAAAUCCGUUGGCUUUAUAGACCAUGAGGGUUCAAGUCCCUCUACCCCCA
This 58-nucleotide transfer RNA is filed under the name Porella platyphylla. RNAcentral's name for it is "partial tRNA-Leu". RNAcentral also lists the same sequence under 50 other names. The record is from RNAcentral. Lineage: Eukaryota; Viridiplantae; Streptophyta; Jungermanniopsida; Porellales; Porellaceae.